CGAACGGGUGAGUAACGCGUGAGGAACCUGCCUCAAAGAGGGGGACAACAGUUGGAAACGACUGCUAAUACCGCAUAGGCCCACGGCUCGGCAUCGAGCAGAGGGAAAAGGAGCAAUCCGCUUUGAGAUGGCCUCGCGUCCGAUUAGCUAGUUGGUGAGGUAACGGCCCACCAAGGCGACGAUCGGUAGCCGGACUGAGAGGUUGAACGGCCACAUUGGGACUGAGACACGGCCCAG
Molecule: ribosomal RNA, 237 nt
Filed under: uncultured bacterium
Lineage: Bacteria
Description: partial 16S ribosomal RNA
Rfam family: Bacterial small subunit ribosomal RNA
Source: RNAcentral